Molecule: long non-coding RNA, 220 nt
Filed under: Nicotiana benthamiana
Lineage: Eukaryota; Viridiplantae; Streptophyta; Magnoliopsida; Solanales; Solanaceae
Description: long non-coding RNA (NBEN_LNC008784)
Source: RNAcentral
GAUUGUGGGGGUGGAUAGGCAUUUUGUGGAGCUGGGUACUUAGAAAGUGAAGUAUGUCUUUGGGAGUCCCAUGGAGAGAAGUAAUGGCCUGGAGAAUUACAAGGAUAUCCACGGGGUCGAUAUAGAGACUGAGGGCCUUUAUCAGGGACAACCACUGACCUUGUCGUUGGAGAGGUUCUACAACAUCUUUCCUUUUCAUGGGAAGAAUAUCCCGAACGAC